Cinara cedri is the source of this 259-nucleotide non-coding RNA. The record is from the annotation of a GenBank genome assembly. NCBI's taxonomy places the organism in Eukaryota, Metazoa, Arthropoda, Insecta, Hemiptera, Aphididae.
GCUACUUUUGUACAACGAAAACAAUUUCGGUUACGCGAGUGCUUCGAUUUUCGCGCUAAAUACCUCAAAACGAGCGGCAUUUUGUGUCCGAUAAUUUUCAGUUUUUCACCCCGGGUCUUUUACUAUUAGAUUUGUUUGUCGACGUCCGAAUCGCUCCGUUCAGAACCGUUUCGCGACGGCGUAUCGUCGCGUAUCGCCACCAUCCCCGGGAGCGGUACGGACUCAAUUUUUUUCGACCGUUUCGCCGGGGCUGUUACGA